This 380-nucleotide ribosomal RNA is filed under the name uncultured eukaryote. Its description in RNAcentral is "partial 18S ribosomal RNA". It matches the Rfam family "Eukaryotic small subunit ribosomal RNA", at positions 592 to 976 of the family's 1831-position model. The record is from RNAcentral.
CAAUAGCGUAUAUUAAAGUUGUUGCGGUUAAAAAGCUCGUAGUUGGAUUUCUGCUGAGAACGACCGGUCCGCCCUUUGGGUGUGUAUCUGGCUCUUUCUUGGCAUCUUCUUGGUGAACGUUGCUGCACUUGACUGUGUGGAGCGCUACCCAGGACUUUUACUUUGAGGAAAUUAGAGUGUUUCAAGCAGGCAUACGCCUUGAAUACAUUAGCAUGGAAUUAUAAGAUAGGACCUCGGUUCUAUUUUGUUGGUUUCUAGAGCUGAGGUAAUGAUUAAUAGGGAUAGUUGGGGGCAUUCGUAUUUAACUGUCAGAGGUGAAAUUCUUGGAUUUGUUAAAGACGGACUACUGCGAAANCANNNGCCAAGGAUGUUUUCAUNGA